UAGAGAAUGGUGUUGAGUUGGUAACUCUUCUCUAAACUGAUCAUGGCUUCCAGAAGAUGGAUAAUGAUGGCUUAUAUUAGAAGAGUGUUGAAGCUUAGGUUCAUUUGGUAAUUCUUGUUUAAAAUGGUCAUGGCUUGUGGCAGAAGAGUGUUGAAGUUUAGGCUCAGUUGGUAGUAAAUUUGGUGUGAUAUGAUCAUGGCUUGAAGGGUAUUGAGGUAAAUGUUUAUCUUGGCUUGAAGGGUAUUGUGGUAAUUGUUGAUUUUGGUGUUGUGGUAAAUGUUGAUUUUGGCUUGAAGGGUGUUGAUGUAAAUGUUGAUCAUGGCUAGUUGCAAAAUGGUGUUGAGGUUUAGGCUCAGUUGGUAGUAAAUUUGGUGUGAAAUGUUGUGGUAAAUGUUGAUCAUGGGUUAAAGGGUAUUGUGGUAAAUUUUGAUCUUGGCUUGAAGGGUAUUGCGGUAAAUGUUGAUCAUGGCUUGAAGGGUAUUGUGGUAAAUGUUGAUCAUGGCUAGUUGCAAAAUGGUGUUGAGGUUUAGGCUCAUUUGGUUGCAACUUUGGUGUGAAAUGUUGAUCAUGAGGUAAAUGUUGAUCAUGACUUGAAGGGUAUUGUGGUAAAUUUUGAUCUUGGCUUGAAGGGUAUUGUGGUAAAUGUUGAUCAUGACUAGUUGCAAAACGGUGUUGAGGUUUAGGCUCAUUUGGUGUAAAAUGAUCAUGGCUUGAAGGGUAUUGUGGUAAAUGUUGAUCAUGGCUUGUUGCCAAAGGGUAUUGAGUUUUUGUUGGAUAGGAAUGUUGUUGCAAGUUUUGAUCAUGAUUUUUGGGGUAUUGA
This 820-nucleotide long non-coding RNA is filed under the name Cicer arietinum (chickpea). RNAcentral describes it as "long non-coding RNA (CARI_LNC003328)". Lineage: Eukaryota; Viridiplantae; Streptophyta; Magnoliopsida; Fabales; Fabaceae. The record is from RNAcentral.